AUCCCAGGAGUGUCCCGACCGUCACCACUCCUGGGGUGCCUGCUGGCUGUGGAACAGAGUCCUGUGCUCUGGGCCUUGGCUGCUGUGGACAUUGGGCCAGGGUCAGGAUCAGGGUGGGGGUGGGGCAGUAUUGAUACCUCUGAGA
Equus caballus (horse) is the source of this 145-nucleotide microRNA precursor. The record is from Ensembl. Lineage: Eukaryota; Metazoa; Chordata; Mammalia; Perissodactyla; Equidae.